UGGGGGAAUUUUGGACAAUGGGCGAAAGCCUGAUCCAGCAAUGCCGCGUGUGUGAAGAAGGCCUUCGGGUUGUAAAGCACUUUUGUCCGGAAAGAAAUCCUCUGGGUUAAUACCUCGGGGGGAUGACGGUACCGGAAGAAUAAGCACCGGCUAACUACGUGCCAGCAGCCGCGGUAAUACGUAGGGUGCAAGCGUUAAUCGGAAUUACUGGGCGUAAAGCGUGCGCAGGCGGUUUUGUAAGACGGAUGUGAAAUCCCCGGGCUUAACCUGGGAACUGCAUUCGUGACUGCAAGGCUAGAGUAUGGCAGAGGGGGGUUAGAAUUCCACGUGUAGCAGUGAAAUGCGUAGAGAUGUGGAGGAAUACCGAUGGCGAAGGCAGCCCCCUGGGCCAAUACUGACGCUCAUGCACGAAAGCGUGGGGAGCAAACAGGAUUAGAUACCCUGGUAGUCCACGCCCUAAACGAUGUCAACCUAGUUGUUGGGGAUUCAUUUCCUUAGUAACGUAGCUAACGCGUGAAGUUGACCGCCU
Molecule: ribosomal RNA, 529 nt
Filed under: uncultured bacterium
Lineage: Bacteria
Description: partial 16S ribosomal RNA
Rfam family: Bacterial small subunit ribosomal RNA
Source: RNAcentral